RNAcentral lists this ribosomal RNA (253 nucleotides) under uncultured bacterium. RNAcentral's name for it is "partial 16S ribosomal RNA". It matches the Rfam family "Bacterial small subunit ribosomal RNA", at positions 524 to 776 of the family's 1533-position model. The record is from RNAcentral.
GACGAGCCUCACGAACGUUAUUCGGAAUUACUGGGCUUAAAGGGUGCGUAGGCUGUGCGGAAAGUUGGGUGUGAAAUCCCUCGGCUCAACCGAGGAACUGCGCCCAAAACUACCGUACUCGAGGAAGAUAGAGGUGAGCGGAACUUACGGUGGAGCGGUGAAAUGCGUUGAUAUCGUAAGGAACACCCGUGGCGAAAGCGGCUCACUGGGUCUUUUCUGACGCUGAUGCACGAAAGCUAGGGGAGCAAACGGG